Molecule: unclassified non-coding RNA, 340 nt
Filed under: uncultured fungus
Lineage: Eukaryota; Fungi
Description: partial contains small subunit ribosomal RNA, internal transcribed spacer 1, and 5.8S ribosomal RNA
Rfam family: Eukaryotic small subunit ribosomal RNA (bases 1-73)
Source: RNAcentral
GCAAACUUGGUCAUUUAGAGGAAGUAAAAGUCGUAACAAGGUAACCGUAGGUGAACCUGCGGUUGGAUCAUUAAUAAUUCAAAUUAUUAAUUGCUGACACGUGCGGCGCUCUGCGUAAGCAGACACCCGCGUGAAGGCAAAACCCAACUUGUGAACUGAAAUUGUCUCUGGUGGGCUUAACGAGAAAACGAGAGGGGACUAAUCCUCUCCGCUGUUUUCUUCCCACUAUUUUAUAAACUCCUGUUUAUUUAUUUUUGUCUCUAAACUUUUUUAUUAUCAUAAUAAAAAAACAACUUUUGACAACGGAUCUCUUGGCUCUCGCAUCGAUGAAGAACGCAGC